AACGUAGGACGCAAGCGUUAUCCGGAGUUACUGGGCGUAAAGGGCGUGUAGGCGGCUGUUCAAGUUCGUCGUGAAAGACCCCGGCUCAACCGGGGGUGGUCGAGGGAGACUGAACAGCUGGAGGACGGUAGAGGGACAGGGAAUUCAGGGUGUAGUGGUGAAAUGCUUAGAGAUCCGGAGGAAAGCCAUUGGCGAAGGCGCUGUCCUGGGCCGCCCCUGACGCUGAGACGCGAUAGCAUGGGGUGCGCACGGG
Molecule: ribosomal RNA, 253 nt
Filed under: uncultured bacterium
Lineage: Bacteria
Description: partial 16S ribosomal RNA
Rfam family: Bacterial small subunit ribosomal RNA
Source: RNAcentral